Molecule: unclassified non-coding RNA, 295 nt
Filed under: Hevea brasiliensis (rubber tree)
Lineage: Eukaryota; Viridiplantae; Streptophyta; Magnoliopsida; Malpighiales; Euphorbiaceae
Source: RNAcentral
UUUGUUGCGUGAUGGGUUGGCUUUGAAGUUUGAGACUGAGUUAAAAUCUCUGCGAUGCACCGCAGAUAUCUGCAGCCAGCAGCAGGAACAGGCUGCAGUUGCACCGGUGGGUGAAAGAUGAUACUGAUUCUGAUUGAUUUUCCCUUUGCUUGGCUUAGCCUUCUUGAUAUGGAUAAAGCGUAUGUCAGUGGAGAACGUGGCUAGGGUUGUGCUGGCCAGUUUUCUUUUUCAGAGAGAGAUGCUUUCCUUUAUCCAGUACGUUCUUAAAAGUUGAAAGCUCUCUUCCAAAACCCAC